RNAcentral lists this ribosomal RNA (915 nucleotides) under uncultured bacterium. RNAcentral's name for it is "bacterial SSU rRNA". It matches the Rfam family "Bacterial small subunit ribosomal RNA", at positions 1 to 908 of the family's 1533-position model. The record is from RNAcentral. RNAcentral also lists the same sequence under 1 other name.
UGGAUCCAGACUUUGAUUAUGGCUCAGGAUGAACGCUAGCUACAGGCUUAACACAUGCAAGUCGAGGGGCAGCGGGAUUGAAGCUUGCUUCAAUUGCCGGCGACCGGCGCACGGGUGAGUAACGCGUAUCCAACCUUCCGUACACUCAGGGAUAGCCUUUCGAAAGAAAGAUUAAUACCUGAUGGUAUGAUGAGAUUGCAUGAUAGCAUCAUUAAAGAUUUAUCGGUGUACGAUGGGGAUGCGUUCCAUUAGGUAGUAGGCGGGGUAACGGCCCACCUAGCCAACGAUGGAUAGGGGUUCUGAGAGGAAGGUCCCCCACAUUGGAACUGAGACACGGUCCAAACUCCUACGGGAGGCAGCAGUGAGGAAUAUUGGUCAAUGGACGAGAGUCUGAACCAGCCAAGUAGCGUGAAGGAUGAAGGUCCUACGGAUUGUAAACUUCUUUUAUAAGGGAAUAAACCCUCCCACGUGUGGGAGCUUGUAUGUACCUUAUGAAUAAGCAUCGGCUAACUCCGUGCCAGCAGCCGCGGUAAUACGGAGGAUGCGAGCGUUAUCCGGAUUUAUUGGGUUUAAAGGGAGCGCAGACGGGUCGUUAAGUCAGCUGUGAAAGUUUGGGGCUCAACCUUAAAAUUGCAGUUGAUACUGGCGUCCUUGAGUGCGGUUGAGGUGUGCGGAAUUCGUGGUGUAGCGGUGAAAUGCUUAGAUAUCACGAAGAACUCCGAUUGCGAAGGCAGCACACUAAUCCGUAACUGACGUUCAUGCUCGAAAGUGUGGGUAUCAAACAGGAUUAGAUACCCUGGUAGUCCACACGGUAAACGAUGGAUACUCGCUGUUGGCGAUAUACUGUCAGCGGCUUAGCGAAAGCGUUAAGUAUCCCACCUGGGGAGUACGCCGGCAACGGUGCGACUCAAAGGA